UUUUGGACAAUGGGCGAAAGCCUGAUCCAGCAACGCCGCGUGCAGGAUGAAGGCCUUCGGGUUGUAAACUGCUUUUGUACGGAACGAAACGGUUCUCCUUAAUACGGGGGGCUAAUGACGGUACCGUAAGAAUAAGCACCGGCUAACUACGUGCCAGCAGCCGCGGUAAUACGUAGGGUGCGAGCGUUAAUCGGAAUUACUGGGCGUAAAGCGUGCGCAGGCGGUUAUAUAAGACAGAUGUGAAAUCCCCGGGCUCAACCUGGGCCCCGCAUUUGUGACUGUAUAGCUAGAGUACGGUAGAGGGGGAUGGAAUUCCGCGUGUAGCAGUGAAAUGCGUAGAUAUGCGGAGGAACACCGAUGGCGAAGGCAAUCCCCUGGACCUGUACUGACGCUCAUGCACGAA
RNAcentral lists this ribosomal RNA (403 nucleotides) under uncultured bacterium. RNAcentral describes it as "bacterial SSU rRNA". It matches the Rfam family "Bacterial small subunit ribosomal RNA", at positions 362 to 757 of the family's 1533-position model. The record is from RNAcentral.